RNAcentral lists this ribosomal RNA (1008 nucleotides) under Triticum aestivum (bread wheat). RNAcentral describes it as "partial small subunit ribosomal RNA". Lineage: Eukaryota; Viridiplantae; Streptophyta; Magnoliopsida; Poales; Poaceae. The record is from RNAcentral.
AUGAUUCUUCGUUCAUUAUCAUGUCGAUUCCUCACAAUCGCUCUUUGUGAUGCUGCGGAACCAUGGCAAUUAGGAUCUCAAGACGCAGCAACACCUAUGAUGCAAGGAAUCAUUGACUUACAUCACGAUAUCUUUUUCUUCCUCAUUCUUAUUUUGGUUUUCGUAUCACGGAUGUUGGUUCGCGCUUUAUGGCAUUUCAAUGAGCAAACUAAUCCAAUCCCACAAAGGAUUGUUCAUGGAACUACUAUCGAAAUUAUUCGGACCAUAUUUCCAAGUGUCAUUCUUUUGUUCAUUGCUAUACCAUCGUUUGGUCUUGCGUUGACAGUACUAAUAAUGGCAUUUGUUGUCUUAUUCGGAGUUCAAGGAAUAGCCUUUCAUCUUGGGAAUGAGAAUGUCGCGGAUCUCAAUGUUCUCGUCAUGACCAAUGCUCCUAACGGGGGUGACUUUCCCAUAGACCAACCUCCCGUUGGCGGACUACCAGACCUCCAGCAGGAAAUGGCGCACGCCGCCCAUCCCGAAGACAUAAUUGCGGAGUUGACUUCCAAGGUUGAAAGAAUAUUUCACGAAGUAGGCACUCCUCUUCCUUUAGAGGAAGGUGAAUCUGCGCGAUCGUUCACUGAAAAUCAUGUAUUGUGGAAUAGUGAGGGAGGAGAUACUCUUCAACAAAUCUUCUCCGAUUAUACGGAAGCCGGGGACGCAAGCGAAUUCGUCGCAAUAGCCACCAAUCUGGCGAAGCGGUUUCGCCGCGCCGAGCUCGGUGAACCAGAUUCUCUCGACCCCGAUGCGCCUUUGGAAGAGCAGGAGGCUCAUUCCACGGGAUCCCCUGAAAGCACAAAAGCAAAUGAUGGGGCGAACGAGGCAGGCCCGUCUUCUUCGCGGAAGCGUAAAAGGUGGGAUGAUGAUUCGAGGUCCGAAGAUGAUGAUUCGGGGGGCCCCGGGGAAUCUCCAGAUCCAGUGGAAAUCGUUUACGAAGGGGAUGCACAAGGGUACAACUGGGAGGGGAAUUAG